Non-coding RNA from Malus domestica (apple), 272 nucleotides. The record is from RefSeq and is a predicted model, not a curated record. NCBI's taxonomy places the organism in Eukaryota, Viridiplantae, Streptophyta, Magnoliopsida, Rosales, Rosaceae.
GACAGGCUUUGAGCCUCCACAUCAGGCUCAAAUUCAAGAAGUACCUGGACAAGGUUAGGCCGACCUUGAGCAACCGCCAAGUGAAUCAAAGAUUGGCCCUCAUAAUCCACAGAAUCGGCGGCUCUCCAUGAAGAUUGGUCCUACGGCAACUACUAUGGCGGAUUGGGACCCUACAAAGGCCGAAAAAAAGUGCUUGUGAAGGUUCUUUGGAGAUUCAUUUUUAUGUUUAUCAAGUGUUUAAUGAAAUGUCUUAUGGGAAUAUCAACAUUAUU